GUGUGUGUGUGUGUGUGUGUGUGUGUGUGUGUGUGUCAGUAUGUCUGUGUGUAUGCCAGUAUGUCAGUGUGUGUGUAUGUAGGUAUGUCUCUGUGUGUGUGUGUACGUGUGUGUCAGUAUGUCUGCCAGGAUAUAUUUGUGUGUCAGUGUAUGUGUGUGUCAGUGUGUAUCUGUGAAUGUUUUAAUGUCUGUCUGUGUGUAUGUGCCAGUACGUCUGUCUGUGUGUAUGUCAGUAUGUCUGUGUGUGUGUGUGUCAGCAUGUCUUUGUGUGUCAGUAUGUCUGUGUGUGUAUGUAAGUAUGCCUGUGUGUGUAUGUGUGUGUCAGUCAGUAUGUCUGUCAGUGUAUGUGUCUGUGUGUAUGUAUGUAUGUCUGUGUGUGUGUGUGUGUGUCAGUAUGUCUGCCAGGAUAUAUUUGUAUGUCAGCGUAUGUGUGUGUCAGUAUAUAUCUGUGAAUGUUUAAUGUCUGUCUGUAUCAGCCAUUACGUCUGUCUGUGUAUAUGUCAGUAUGCCUGUGUGUGUGUGUGUGUGUAUAUAUAUGUCAGUAUGCCUGUGUGUGUGUUUCAAUGUGUCUGUCAGUGUAUGUGUCUGUGUGUUUUAGUAUAUCUGUCAGUGUAUGUGUUUGUGUGUGUGUCAGUAUAUCUGUUAAUGUAUGUGUCUGUGUAUGUAUGUAUGUGUGUGUGUCAGUAUGUCUGCC
Molecule: long non-coding RNA, 694 nt
Filed under: Pelobates cultripes (western spadefoot toad)
Lineage: Eukaryota; Metazoa; Chordata; Amphibia; Anura; Pelobatidae
Source: RNAcentral